AAAAUGCUUAGAAUGUGUCCAUUUUAAUAGGUUUUAAUGCAUAAGACAGUAGAUAGAAUAAAUAUUAGAUAAUAUAAAUAUGAGAGUUUUCUUACAGCCUUAAUCUGUCAUUGUUUCGUUUCAGACUGUCAGUCAAUUUUGGAAGCCUGAAGUGGGUUCAUUUUAAGUUUCCAUAUUCCAUAUGUUAAGAUAUGUUCAGUGUUGCUGCUGUGGAAGUGUUGUGGGUGACUUUUUAUUGAUGCAGGUCUAAUCAUACUUUAAGAGGUUCUCUAGACCAUGCAACUUUUUAAGUUCCUACG
This is a long non-coding RNA of Xyrauchen texanus (razorback sucker), 299 nucleotides long. RefSeq lists it as uncharacterized. The transcript has 3 exons. The record is from RefSeq and is a predicted model, not a curated record. NCBI's taxonomy places the organism in Eukaryota, Metazoa, Chordata, Actinopteri, Cypriniformes, Catostomidae.